GCUAUUAACGCUGCUCGUGACGUCAUUUCGGACAUCCGGAUUCAAGGGUGUUUUUUUCACCUGGCCCAGUCGGUUCAUCGUAAGCUGUGCGCGCUGGGGUUUCAAGCACGUUACGGCACGGACGAGGCAUUUGCAGUCAAGAUGAAAAUGCUCCCAGCCUUGGCGUUUCUUCCUGUUGAGGCUAUCCCAGAGGCGUUUCAAGACUUGUUGGAAGUAUUCCCACAGGAGGCGAUCGGACUGGCUGACUACUUUGAGGACGUUUACGUCGGUCGACCACGUCGAAACGGCGUCAGCUCGGCUCAAUUUCCUCCGAAACUCUGGUCAGUGUACGAGGCGGCACUUGAUGGAAUGCCGCGGACAAACAACAGUGUGGAGGCGUGGCACUAUGGGCUACAGAGCAACGUGAGAUGCACUUCACCGAACAUCUGGG
This 430-nucleotide long non-coding RNA is filed under the name Ixodes scapularis (black-legged tick). RNAcentral describes it as "uncharacterized LOC120841452". The record is from RNAcentral. Lineage: Eukaryota; Metazoa; Arthropoda; Arachnida; Ixodida; Ixodidae.